GCAGAUUAAGGCCAAACUUCGAUGUCAAGGAACUGACUGAAUGAGCGAGAUAUCUUUGAAGAGCAACAGCUUGAUGACAUGAGGGCCUACAUCAAACCAUGCUUCAUCACUCUCUUGUACGAUGACUUGUCAGUCUUACCUCAGACGUUGUGUAUGCACAGACAGAAGAACCAACUCAGCUGGACCCACAGGAGACUCAGUGGUAUCAGUUGCAAUGGAGCAGAGAGAAUUAAUAAAUAAUGGCCAUGUAUGAGGUACACUGGAACAAGCAACUGCAGUGCAGAUGUGCAUGUCAUAAGUCAGAGUAUCAUUAAAAAUAACAGAUACUGGAAU
Long non-coding RNA from Labeo rohita (rohu), 333 nucleotides. RefSeq lists it as uncharacterized. The transcript has 4 exons. The record is from RefSeq and is a predicted model, not a curated record. NCBI's taxonomy places the organism in Eukaryota, Metazoa, Chordata, Actinopteri, Cypriniformes, Cyprinidae.